GACGAACGCUGGCGGCGUGCUUAACACAUGCAAGUCGAACGGUGAGGCGCCUUCCUUUUUGGUUGGUGUGGAUGAGUGGCGAACGGUUGAGCAACACUUGAGUAACCUGCCCCCUGCUUCUGGAUAACCGCACGAAAGCGUGGCUAAUACGGGAUAUUCUGGGUCUGUCGCAUGAUGGGUCUGGGAAAGCUAUUGGUUCUGUGGGGGAUGGUCUCGCGGCCUAUCAGCUUGUUGGUGGUGUGAUGGCCUACCAAGGCGGUGACGGGUAGCCGGCCUGGGCGGGUAGACGGCCUGAGUGGGACUGCGGCACCGCUGGGACUGCGACGGGGGGCAGCAGUGGAGGGUAGUGAACAGUGGGCGAAAGUCUGAUGCAGCGGCGCGGCGGGAGGGGUAGCGGCCUGCGGGUUGUGAACGUCUUUCGGUAGUGAAGCGGGUCUGCCUGGUAUGUGGGUGGGUUGACGGUAGCUGGUAAAGAAGCGCCGGCUAACUACGUG
Molecule: ribosomal RNA, 494 nt
Filed under: uncultured bacterium
Lineage: Bacteria
Description: partial 16S ribosomal RNA
Rfam family: Bacterial small subunit ribosomal RNA
Source: RNAcentral